RNAcentral lists this ribosomal RNA (504 nucleotides) under uncultured bacterium. RNAcentral describes it as "bacterial SSU rRNA". It matches the Rfam family "Bacterial small subunit ribosomal RNA", at positions 21 to 507 of the family's 1533-position model. The record is from RNAcentral.
GGCUCAGGAUGAACGCUGGCGGCGUGCCUAAUACAUGCAAGUCGAACGCACAGCGAAAGGUGCUUGCAUCUUUCAAGUGAGUGGCGAACGGGUGAGUAACACGUGGAUAACCUACCUCAAGGUUGGGGAUAACAUUUGGAAACAGAUGCUAAUACCGAAUAAAACUUCGUAUCGCAUGAUACAAGGUUAAAAGGCGCUACGGCGUCACCUAGAGAUGGAUCCGCGGUGCAUUAGUUAGUUGGUGGGGUAAAGGCCUACCAAGACAAUGAUGCAUAGCCGAGUUGAGAGACUGAUCGGCCACAUUGGGACUGAGACACGGCCCAAACUCCUACGGGAGGCUGCAGUAGGGAAUCUUCCACAAUGGGCGAAAGCCUGAUGGAGCAACGCCGCGUGUGUGAUGAAGGCUUUCGGGUCGUAAAGCACUGUUGUAUGGGAAGAACAGCUAGAGUAGGGAAUGACUUUAGUUUGACGGUACCAUACCAGAAAGGGACGGCUAAAUACGUG